This is a non-coding RNA of Chelonoidis abingdonii (Abingdon island giant tortoise), 397 nucleotides long. The record is from RefSeq and is a predicted model, not a curated record. NCBI's taxonomy places the organism in Eukaryota, Metazoa, Chordata, Testudines, Testudinidae.
GGUCUCUAGACAAACUCUAUAACUUCGCCGACUGCUCUGGCCUCCACCUGAUCUUUGCGCUGAAUGCCCUGCGCCGAAAUCCAGAUAACUCCUGGAACAGCUCCAAUGCGCUCAGCCUGCUGAAGUACAGUGCCAGCAAGAAAUACAACAUCUCCUGGGAGCUGGGCAACGAGCCCAACAACUAUCGGACAUUGACUGGCCGCACCAUGAAUGGCAGUCAGCUGGGGAAGGACUAUAUCCAGCUGAAGAGUCUGCUGCAGCUUAUCCGCACCUACGCCAGAACCAACCUCUAUGGGCCCAGCAUUGGACGGCCCAGAAAGAACGUCAUUGCUCUCCUGGAGGGGUUCAUGAAGGUGGCUGGCCGCACAGUGGAUGCUGUUACCUGGCAACAGUAGGU